Molecule: unclassified non-coding RNA, 325 nt
Filed under: uncultured Thelephoraceae
Lineage: Eukaryota; Fungi; Basidiomycota; Agaricomycetes; Thelephorales; Thelephoraceae
Description: partial contains 18S rRNA, ITS1, 5.8S rRNA, ITS2 and 28S rRNA
Rfam family: 5.8S ribosomal RNA (bases 161-315)
Source: RNAcentral
GGCAUGUGCACGCUCUGUUCACACAUCCACUCACACCUGUGCACCCUCUGUAGUUCUAUGGCCUGGGGGACNCUGUUCCCCUUGNUGNGGUUCUACGUCUUUACACACACACUGUAAUAAAGUUUCAUGGAAUGUAGUCGCGUUUAACGCAAUACAAUACAACUUUCAGCAACGGAUCUCUUGGCUCUCGCAUCGAUGAANAACGCAGCGAAAUGCGAUAAGUAAUGUGAAUUGCAGAAUUCAGUGAAUCAUCNAAUCUUUGAACGCACCUUGCGCCCUUUGGNUAUUCCGAAAGGCAUGCCUGUUUGAGUAUCAUGAACACCUC